RNAcentral lists this ribosomal RNA (235 nucleotides) under uncultured bacterium. RNAcentral's name for it is "partial 16S ribosomal RNA". It matches the Rfam family "Bacterial small subunit ribosomal RNA", at positions 338 to 590 of the family's 1533-position model. The record is from RNAcentral.
CCUACGGGGCGCAGCAGUGGGGAAUAUUGCGCAAUGGGGGAAACCCUGACGCAGCAACGCCGCGUGCGGGAUGAAGGCUUUCGGGUUGUAAACCGCUUUCAGCAGGGAUGACUUCGACAGUACCUGCAGAAGAAGCCCCGGCUAACUACGUGCCAGCAGCCGCGGUAAUACGUAGGGGGCGAGCGUUAUCCGGAUUUAUUGGGCGUAAAGCGAGUGCAGGCGGUUCAAUAAGUCU